GUAGGGUGCAAGCGUUAAUCGGAAUUACUGGGCGUAAAGCGUGCGCAGGCGGCUUUGCAAGACAGAUGUGAAAUCCCCGGGCUUAACCUGGGAACUGCAUUUGUGACUGCAUGGCUAGAGUGCGGCAGAGGGGGAUGGAAUUCCGCGUGUAGCAGUGAAAUGCGUAGAUAUGCGGAGGAACACCGAUGGCGAAGGCAAUCCCCUGGGCCUGCACUGACGCUCAUGCACGAAAGCGUGGGGAGCAAACAGGAUUAGAUACCCUGGUAGUCCACGCCCUAAACGAUGUCAACUGGUUGUUGGACGGCUUGCUGUUCAGUAACGAAGCUAACGCGUGAAGUUGACCGCCUGGGGAGUACGGCCGCAAGGUUGAA
Molecule: ribosomal RNA, 371 nt
Filed under: uncultured bacterium
Lineage: Bacteria
Description: bacterial SSU rRNA
Rfam family: Bacterial small subunit ribosomal RNA
Source: RNAcentral